This is a non-coding RNA of Felis catus (domestic cat), 85 nucleotides long. The record is from Rfam. Lineage: Eukaryota; Metazoa; Chordata; Mammalia; Carnivora; Felidae.
GCCUGGGUGGCUCAGUCGGUUAAGCAUCUGACUUCAGCUCAGGUCAUGAUCUCAUGGCUUGUGGGUUCAUGCCCCACGGCGGGCU